RNAcentral lists this long non-coding RNA (30203 nucleotides) under Nicotiana tabacum (common tobacco). Its description in RNAcentral is "long non-coding RNA (NTAB_LNC017753)". The record is from RNAcentral. Lineage: Eukaryota; Viridiplantae; Streptophyta; Magnoliopsida; Solanales; Solanaceae.
UUUUUUUUUCUUCUUCUUAAUAUCAAGAAUGUUUUUUGCUGGCUUUUAAUGUGAGAAACAUUUUUUUAAUGAGUUGACAUAGUGGAAUUCAACGGACAAUUCGCUGAAAUUUAAUGACUAGUCAUGCUUUACAGGAAAAAAGAUAGUGUUGAUUCAUUUUUUUCUUUCUUUUUAACUCAAAAAUGAGGGAAAAUUAACAACAAAAUGUCAAAAAAGCUUAAGUAUUAUUCAUAUAUCAUUCCGAUCUUUAAAUUUCCGGGACCACUGAAAUAUUUUAGCUCAAAAUAGUUGGAUCUCUACCUCAUUAAAGAGGUAAUUGUGAUAUUGUUUUUUAUUCUUAAAAGGUUAAAAGGAUUUACUUACUGCUGUUUUUUCUAGAGAAAAGUUUUUAAUUUCCCGACAAAUAAGGUUUCAGACAGUUGUCAAUGUUGUAAAAGGACAUAACCAUCUCUCAUUGUUACACCAAAAGAGCUAAUGAGUCUUGUGAUCAAAAUUUAGACGGCACAUUCCUGUAAGUUACUUUUGUGUUUCUAUUUAUUUCUAUUUUUUAAAAGGAAAACAAAAAAUUGCAAACUCAUCGUUUCAUCAGUAGCAUACCCAUGGAGACGAGUCUUCUAGUUUCUAUUCACGGUGUACUUAUUUAUAUAAGGCAGAAUAGCCUAAAUGACACCUAUACUUGUGCCACUUUGUUAUCCCGGUUCUUGUAAUUAAUGAAAUUUUAUUUAGACACCUGAACUCAGUCAAAACAUGUAUUUUAAACCUCUCUGGCCAUUGAUUGAGCUUAUGUAUCAUUUAUUUUGCUGAGUCAGAAAACUGAGUGGUUACACGCUCUAAAAAGGAGAGUGGAUAUAUUUAUUUUGAUUUAAAAAUAAUAAAGAAUAACCAUAAAAGAGAAAAAGAGUAAACUAAUUUCUCAACCCAAGCAUCUCUACCCGUUUCCCAACCCUUCGGCCUGAUUUCCCAUGUUUCUCCCCACUCUUUCCUAUCGUAACUCCCCCCAUCCUCCACCCCACCCCUCUACCAUUUGUGGAUAGUUAGCAACAAAAUUAAUAGUAUAAAAGGAGAAGAAUUUUCUUUUAGGGAAGCUAAAUAAACAUAUCUGUUAAUGAGGUUAAAGUUUUUAAAAAUAUCAAGAAGCAAUGACCAAGUAAUUUUCGUGUUCAUCAGUCCAUUAUGGUCAUGGGUUUUCCAAAGGAGUCUGGCGAGUGGAGAAAUAGGUGGUAGAGUCCGCUAGUGAUUAUUUUCCAAUGAUCUGGUUUUGCUUUAUGGUGGUCGGCAGUAAAAUACUUCCAGCAAUGUAGUCCUUUAUAUUGUAGUGAUGGUAAGCUGCCCGCUAGUUGUUGCCCCUUUUUGUAUCUCUAUAAAUUCUAAGAUUACACUAGUAAGCUGAAUUUUACCUAAAAUAAUGAGAGUAAGGAGAUGAAGCAAGAUAAUUUUUUUUAUCAAAAUUGAAGAGUUUUAUGUAUAAGAAUUGGGGUUUAAGAUUGUGCUCAGAAAGGAGGAAAGAGAGCAAACGGUGAAGGCGACUCCAAUUUUCCGAUUGUUUUCCGGUGAUAAAGGUCGCCGACAACAUAUGAAGAUAGGGAUGGAUUUGAAAUAUUAUUAAAAAUUAUGCUCUGAAGAUUGAUUUAAAGUAACCCAGUCAGAUGUCUCAUAAAGAGUAAUGAUUUAAAUAAAUAAAGAUGUGGCAUUGUUUUAUCUAAAGUGGACAUGAUAUUUUCUCCAUGUUAGGCGAGUGACCAACACGUAAUGUUGAAGGAGUAAAUACAUGUUUUGACUAAGUUAAUGUGUCUGGAUGAAACUUCAUUAAAUACAGGGAUCAGAAUUACAAGGUGGCACAAGUAUAGGUGCAUGUAGCGAUACAGCUACCGAGAAUAUAAAAGGAAUUGUAAAAAAUUGAACAAGAAGGAAAAAUUAAAUAAGCUUUGCCAUUUCUCUGAUGAUAGUUACACUGAUGAGGCAAGGAUAUAUACUAUGAUAGCUACAGUUGUGACUAAAUUCCCUUCCAAUGAGAAACCAACAACUAUUGUACCACCCCAUAACGACACUAAAAUAAAGGACAAACAUGUGUCACCUCCAGGCUAUGACAUUACUUAGAGAUUCUAUUACAAAUACUAAAAUUAAAGGACUUAAAAUUAAUUACACAACUUUCCUUAAAUGAUAAUUCAACCACGCAAUCAUCAGUCUUGAUUAUCCUUCUCUUUGAAUGACUUAGACAGCCUCAUUAGACAACAUCCCAUUCCCCUUCGAGAACCUUGAUAAUCAAGGUUGAAAUCCAGGGAAUUGCGAAGCAAGAAAGGUGUAAUCCUCCCAGGUUGCAUCUUUCGAAGCUAAAUUAGCCCAUUGCACUAAAACUUGGGUUACAACGCGAUUUCCUCUCUUGACCAUUCUCCGAUCUAAGAUAGCCACUGAUUCUGAAAUAAUCUGCCCUUCAGGAGUGCUAAAAAGAGGUUCUUUAGCAGAAAUUUCCUUCGGCCCCAACUUCUUCUUCAAUUGCGACACAUGAAACACCGGGUGAAUAUGCGAUUCAGCUGGCAAUUGGAUCUCGUAGGCCACUGGGCUGAUCUUUUUGAUUACUGGGUAGGGACCAAAAUACUUGGAGGCCAACUUCAGAUUCUUCCUCAAAGCUAUUGAAGUUUGACGAUAUGGCUGCAGCUUGAUAAAUACUAAAUCCCCCACUUCAAAGGUCUGUUCGCUUCUCUUACUAUCCGCAUACUAUUUCAUUCGAGCUUGAGCUUUGACUAAGUUGUCCUUCAAUUGUCUGUUUACCACCUACCUUUCUUUCAGCAAUUGAUCCACGGAUUCAACCUUCGAUUGUGCAAUCAGCUCGAAGUUGGCCAAUGGUGGAUCAUACCCGUAAAGAGCCUUAAAAGGGGUCAUAUUGAUGGCUGUCUGAAAAUUAGUAUUAUACCAAAACUCAGCCAGUGCUAACCAUUUUCCCCAUUCUUUGGGUCUUUGCCUAGUUAUACAUCUAAGAUAAGACUCUAGACACCGAUUCAAUCUUUCCGUUUGUCCGUCUAUUUGGGGAUGGUAGGCCGAGCUUAAUUUCAACUGUACUUGCAUGUUCUUAAAGAGUUCUUGCCAAAAUAAACUAACAAAAAUUGGAUCUCGAUCAGAGACAAUUGAACAAGGAGCUCCGUGUAGUUUAAAAACCUAAUCAAGGAAUAUCUGGGAAAUUUGGGCAGCAGUGUAAGGAUGACUUAAUGCAAUAAAGUGAGCGUAUUUAAUAAACCUGUCAACCACCACCAAGAUGACUUUUUUCCUUGUGAUUUGGGCAAUUCUUCUAUAAAAUCUAUGAAAAUAUGCUCCCAAGCUUUUUCGGGAAUUAGUAAUGGUUAUAGUAACCCAGGAUAAGCCACACUUUCAUCUUUAUUUCUUGGGCAAAUUUCGCAUUCUUGUAUGAAAGAUGUUACAUCCUUGCUCAUCCUUGGCCAAUAGAAUAGAGCUUUAAGCCUUUGGUAUGUUGUAUCGUUAGGACGACUGGUUCUCGUAGUUGUAUUGCCCUAACGCAACGACUCAAACAACUGCGAGUGCUUCUAAGACGAUGAGAGGCAUGCGCUUCUCCUAAAGACUGGGUUCCCAAGGCAUAAGAAAAAGAGAAAGUGGAUUAGGAAAGAUUCAAAGGAUUGCUAUACUCAUAGACAGGAUUCAGGUGCAAAGCAGGUUGUUCGCCUUUCGGAAAAGGUGAGCUUCUUUGGUUCAAAAGGCACUACCAAACUACUCUAGUACAGCUAGUGAAUCCUCGAAUGUCUACCCCAAGUAGAAGAAUGCAUAUCCUGGAUUAGUUUUAGCCUAAGGCCCAACUGAUUUCCAAUCCACAAUUUCCCUUGAAACCUUAGCAAACCAAAUUGUAGAGACGCAUUAGUCACUGCUUGUGAGCCAAUAAUCAGUUGUGAGAUUAUGUCUUGGGCUUCUUGAUCCCCUGUAUAGAUGUUUAUUACCUCUUGCACCCACAUGGGUUGGAUCAAAGUGAGACCCAAACAUAAAGCUUCUUUUUCUUGAUUAACUCUUGAAAUUUCCUCUUCCCUUCGAGACAACGCAUCAAUUACAAUGUUCUCUUUUCUCUGCCGAUAAUGUAUUUCAUAACUGAGGCCCAUCAGUUUUAUUACUCCUUUAUAUUGUAAAGAGGUGGUGAUACGUUGAUCUCUGAGGAAUUUAAGACUAAAGUGGUAUGUCCGAAUGAUGAAGUGAUUGGGUUGGAGGUAAUGUCUCCAUUUUUCAACAGCCAGUAGAAUGGAAAUCAAUUCCUUCUCAUAGGUGGAUAACCCAAGAUGCUUUUGACUUAAAGCUUGACUCAUAUAGGCAAUGAAUCUGUUAUUUUGGGAAAGCAUAACCCUAACUCCCCACCCACUAGCAACGACUUCAACCACAAAUGAUAACUUGAAAUCUGGUAAGGCCAAGACAUGUGCUCUACUCAUGGCUUCUUUCAGAGCUUCAAAGGCUUUGGUUGAUUCUAUACUCCACACAAAACCUCCCUUUUUGAGUAAUGAUGUUAAGGGCUUACAAAUAAUUUCAUAGCUUUGGAUAAACUGACGGUAAUAUUCAGUAAGCCCAAGGAAUCCACGUAGACUCUUAACAGAACUUGGCUUGGGCCAAUUUACCAUGGCCUCAACUUUAGCCCUAUCAGUGCUUACCCCAUCAUCGGUGAUCACACAACCCAAGUACUCCACUUGUUCCAAUAAAGAAGCACUAUAAACCAAUAUAUCAUUAAAACAAACUAACACAAACUUCCUCAAAUGGGGGUCGAAAAUCUGAUGCAUAAGGACUUGAAAUGUAGCCGAAGCAUUUGUUAAUACGAACGACAUCACUGUAAAUUCCCACAAUCCAUGAUGAUUUUUGAAAGCCGUUUUAUGAUCAUGGACCGCCUUCAUUCGGAUUUGAUGGUAUCUGAAUCUUAAAUCCAAUUUCAAAAAAUAAUGAGCACAAUGGGGUUCAUUUUGUAGAUCUUCCACCACCGAAAUCAGAUAUUUAUUCUUUAUGGUAAUGUCAUUGAGCUUUCGGUAAGCAACAGAUAACCUCCACGUCGAAUCCUUUUUCUUGACAAGGAUGACUGGUGAAGCAAAAGGAGAUGUACUAGUGAUCACUGCCUUAGCCUCUAACAUCUCUUGAAUAAUUUUUCGAUGACAUCCUUUUGCUCGUGAGGGUACCUAUAGGGUCGUUGAUUGACUGGUGCUGCUCAUGAAACCAUUCAAUAGCAUGAUCGCAAGACCUAGCUGGAGGUAAGGUGGUGGGUUUAUCAAACACUCUAGCAAAUGCACCCAAAAGUUUUUCCACCACACCCGGUACUAUUUCUCUGUUGGACUCGACUGAUUCUAUUUGAAAUGUUUGUGCCACCCAACUGCAACCACAUCUAUUCAAUAACUCAGAAUUCUUUUAGAAUCCACUUGGGCCAUUGACUGCGAAUCAGGAAAGCCCACCAGUGUCACCAUCUUACUUCCUCUAAAGAAGGAUACACUAUGUGGUCUAGUAUUUAUAACCAUGGGAGCUACCAAGUCUAUCCAAUCCAUCUCUAAGACUAUAUCACACCCUCCAACCUUCAUUAAUCUCAGGUCAAAUUGGAACAUUUCACCUUGCAUUUGCCAAAACACCUUAGGACAAAAAAUAUUACUCCACAUUAUCCCUCAAUUAGCUACUCGAACUUUUAUGGGCCGAAUCAUUUGUUGCAUGUUCAAUUGCAAUUUUUCAGCCACUUGAGGGUCUAAGAAGCUAUGAGUUGCCCCUAAGCCAAUCAAAAUUAUCACUGGUUUAUUAUUUAAGAUUCCUGAAAUUUUGAUUGUAUUGGGACCUCCUCCUGGGCCAUCCAGAACAUUAAGGAAAGCUUCCUCCUCUUCCAAACCCACCUUCAUAUUAGCGGUAGCAUCUUCCACAUUUUCCUCCACUUCUUGUUCAUCCGUUAUUCCAGAGCCUUCACAUGCUUCAAAAUUGGUUUCCCCUUCACUUCCUUCAUUUGAAUUAAGGGCUUUGAACUUGCAUUGAUGCCCUAGAAAGUACUUAUUAUGGUAUUUGUAACACAACUUAUUUUCCCUUAACAUUUCCAUGGUUGGAUUGUUCAGUAGGACCAUUGAAUUUCUGGUCACAAUAGGCGGCAAACUCUUGAUGAUGCUUUGAGCUGAAGUUGUUUUGGGCUGGGAGGAAAGGUAAUUGUCGGUUGUGUGGAGGACAUUUUCGGAGGCUCAAUAUUUUUAUAAAUGGAGGCUAACGUUUUUUCAUGGAUUUUAGCUAUUUCUAGUGCAUCAAUCAUUGUUUGAGGAUUGGAUGCCCUCACCAUGGACUGUAAAUCUGCCUUUAAUCCUCCAACAAAGCAAUACACAAAGUAAACUUCAUUAAAUGUUGGAUUAAUGAGCAACAAGUAGAAAUGUAUGUCUUCAAAUUUGUUAAAAUAGCUAUCCACAUCCGUCCACUAUUGAAAUCUAUUAAAAUCAAUAACAAAUUGAUUCAUUUAGUUGGAACGGGUUGCACACCGCAACAAAUAUUAUAUUGGAUCGGGUUGCAUGUCGCAACAGAUAUUAUAUUGGAUCGGGUUGCACGCCGCAAUAGCUAUAUAUAUGUGGAUUAGGUUGCACACUGCAACAAUGUUAAAUGAUAAGGGAUCGGGUUGAGCGCCGCAACAAUAUUGUUAUUGUAUUGUUGUAGAUAUUGAUCUGUCCUUUCAUAUUUUAUUAGGUUUCUAUUGGUCUUGAUAUGUUUCCCCGAAGCAUGUACCCCCUCCCAUUUUAAACUGCUUAUUCUUAUUUAUUUUCCGCCAUAUAUUAUAUAACUGCACAGGUUUAUUUGGGGUCUGGUCCUAGCCUUGUCACUACCUCGCCGGGGUUAGGCCAGACACUUACCAUCACAUGGGGUCGGUUGUGCUGAUACUACACUUUGCACUCUGUGCAGAUACUGGAGCGGCACUUGAUCAGCAGCAGUAAAGGAGCCCGCCUUCAGUCUACCAAGACACCGAGGUAGCCUUGUAGCGUCCACAAGCCCGACGUCUCCUCUAUAUUUUAUUAUGUUCUGUUAUCUCAUAUAUCCGAGACAAACAAUGUUAUUUUUCCUUCAAACUGUUGUAUGUAGUACUCGUAGUAGUUCGUGGGUAUUGUGACACCAGUUUUUGGGUAGAGGCAUCUGUGGACUUUCGAAACAUUUUGGUUUUAUAUUUAUUUAAGACUUCCGUUUAAAUCUCAUAUUCCGCUGUCAUUUAGAUGUCUAUCACUUGUUAACAUAAGUUGUAAAAAAAAAGAUUAAAACAGAAGAGUUAAAGAUUUCUAAGUUUGUGGCUUGCCUAGCUUCUACGAGUAGGCGCCAUCACGACUCUCGAGGGUGGGAAUUCCUGGUCGUGACAAGUUGGUAUCAGAGCUCUAGGUUACAUAGGUCUCACAAUUCACGGACAAGCUCAGUAGAGUAAGAGAGAUCGGUACAGAGACGUCUAUAUUUAUCCCCCAUAGGCUACAGAGUUAGGAAAACUUCACAUUUGUUCUUUCCUAUCGUGUGGUUUUAUUUCUCAAUGCAAAUGGGAUUUCCACUCUGUUUUUUCGCAGAUGGCGAGAACAUGCGCUUCCUCAUCUACCGCUUAGUAGCCCGAACCCCCAUCAGCAUCUCCUACGAGGGGCAAAGGGCAAGACCGAGGUCGUUCUAGAGGCCGAGGUAGGGGCAGAGCUCAGUCCCGAGCAACAACACUAGUGACGGAACCUCAGGUUGAUUUUGAUGAGGAGGUUCCGUCCCCAGCAGUCAUGGUGGGCCCAACUCAGGUCCCAUAGGGGUUUAUUGCUACCCUCGUCCUUCAGGAUGCUCUGGUAUGACUAGUGGGCCUCAUGGAGAUUGUCAUCGGGGCAGGCUUGCUUCCUGUAGCACCAGCCGUCUCUCAGGCUAGAGAAGGAGACCAGACUCCUGCUACUCGCACUCCGGAGCAGGUAGCUCCCCAGAUUUAGACUCCAGAGGUUCAGCUAGUUAGAGUAGUUCAGCCGGGUGUGGUAGCUCAGACCGGCGAUGGAGCAGCUAUGCCUGCCAAUACUUUAUGGAGGCUGGAUAGGUUUACCAAGCUCUUCACUUCUACUUUCAGUGGUGCAUCUACUGAGGAUCCUCAGGAUUAUCUAGACAGCUGCCAUGAGGUUCUCAGGAACAUGGGUAUUGUUGAUACCAAUGGGGUCGAUUUUGCUACAUUUCGCUUGUCUGGAUCCGCCAAGACUUGGUGGAGGGAUUAUUGCUUAGCUAGACCAGCCGGAUUAUUAGCCUUGACUUGGGAGCAGUUCACACAGAUAUUUCUGGAGAAGUUUCUCCCCAUUACUCAGCGAGAGGCUUACCGGAGGCAGUUUGAGCGCCUCCAGCAAGGUUCCAUGACGGUUACCCAGUAUGAGACUAGGUUCAUCGACUUAGCUUGCCAUACUCUUGUCAUACUUCCUACCGAGAGAGAGAGAGAGAGGGUGAUGAGGUUUAUUAAUGGUCUUAUUCAGCCAAUCCGCCUUCAGAUGGCUAGGGAGGCUGGGAGUGAGAUCACUUUUCAGGAGGUAGCCAAUGUAGCCCGUAGAGUGGAGAUGGUCAUGUCACAGGGAGGUGGUCAUGGGUCGGAUAAGAGGCCCCAUCAUUCAGGUAGAUUUAGUGGUGCCCCGUCUGGAGGCAGAUAUUCAUAUGGCAGAGGCCAUCCUUCUAGGCCCUUUCAGUCAGCUCUUCAGGUCUCUCACGACGCUUCAGGUAGCCGUGGUCCGCAGAUGCAGUAUUCCGAUCAGUAGCCCCACAAUGCACCACCAACUCCUAUCAGUGCACCGCCGUUCUAGAGUUUUAGGGGUGGUCAUUUGGGUCGCCAGGGUCAGUCUCAGUUUCCUCAGCCACAACACUCAAGUGAUAUUUUGAUUGUGGUGAGUAUGUCAUAUCAGGAGGACUUGUCCGAGGUUGGUGGGUACUCAAUCACAGCAGCAGGGUUCCCGUGCUAUGGUCCAGGCACCAGGUGUUUCACAGACUGCCCAGCCAGCUAGAGGUGGGGGUAGAAGUGUUAGAGGUGGAGGUAGAGGAUUUAGAGGUGGAGCUCAGGCCGCUAGAGGUGGAGGCCAGCCAUCUGCAGGCCGUCCCAAAGAUGGAGCCCAGGGUGGUGGGGCCCAGCCCCGAUGUUAUGCCCUUCCAGCCAGGCCCGAGGCUGAGGCUUCAGAUGCGGUUAUCACAGGUACUAUUCUGGUUUGUGAUAGAGAAGCUUCAGUGUUAUUUGAUCCAGGGUCCACCUACUCGUAUGUGUCAUCUUAUUUUACACAGUGUCUGGUUAUGCCUAGUGAUUCAUUGAGUGUUCCCGUUUAUGUGUCUUCACCCACCUAUUGUAGUUGAUCGAGUCUAUCAUUCUUGUAUUGUGGUGAUUGGGGGUCUUAAAACUCGUGUAGAUUUGUUUCUUUUAGACAUGGUCAAUUUUGAUGUUAUAUUGGGGAUGGAUUGGUUAUCACCUUACCAUGUCAUCUUGGACUGUCAUACCAAGACUAUGACCUUAGCUUUACCGGGUAUGCCUCGUUUAAAGUGGAGAGGGACUCCUGGUCAUUCUACCCGUAGUGUUUUCUCUUAUGUGAAGGCUCAGUGCAUGGUCGAGAAGGGGUGUUUGGCCUAUUUGGCAUAUGUUUAUGAUUCUAGUGUUGAGCUCUAUUGAUUUUGUGCCCGUUGUUCGUGAGUUUCCUGAGGUAUUCCCUUCGGACUUGCCGGGUAUGCCACCCGACAGGGAUAUUGAUUUUUGCAUUGAUUUGGCUCAGAGCACUCAGCCCAUUUCUAUCCCGCCGUAUCAUAUGGCCCCGCCUGAGUUGAAAGAGUUGAAGGAAUAGUUGCAAGACUUGCUUGAAAAGGGUUUCAUUAGGGCUAGUGUUUCGCCUUGGGGUGCGCCGGUGUUGUUUGUUAAGAAAAAAAGAUGGGUCGAUGAGGAUGUGUAUUGAUUACCGCAGUUGAACAAGGUUACAAUUAAGAAUAAGUAUCCAUUAUCGAGGAUUGAUGAUCUAUUUGAUCAGCUUUAGGGUUCCAAGGUAUUUUCAAAGAUUGACUUGAGAUUUGGCUACCAUCAAUUGAGGAUUAGGGCAUCCGAUGUCCCUAAGACAGCCUUUCGCACUCGGUACGGGCAUUAUGAGUUCUUGGUUAUGUCAUUCGGGUUGACAAAUGCCCGGCAGCUUCCAUGGAUUUGAUGAAUCGAGAGUUCAAGCCUUAUCUGGAUUCACNNNNNNNNNNNNNNNNNNNNNNNNNAGCACGAGCAGCAUCUCAGAGUGGUCUUUCAGACUCUGAGGGAUAGUCAGCUAUAUGUUAAGUUCUCGAAGUGUGAGGUCUAGCUGAGUUUAGUUGUAUUCCUGGGUCAUGUUGUAUCAGCAGAGGGUAUUCAGGUGGAUCCGAAGAAGAUUGAGGCAAUCAAGAACUGGCCUAGGCCAACAUCAGCUAUAGAGAUUCGGAGUUUCUUAGGAUUGGCAGGCUAUUAUCGUCGGUUCGUGGAGGGGUUUUCAUCUAUCGCAGCCCCGAUGACCAGGUUCGCCUAGAAGGGGGCAUAGUUUAGAUGGUCGGACGAGUGUGAGGCGAGAUUUCAAAAGCUCAAGACAGCUCUGACUACGGCACCGGUGUUGGUUUUGCCCACAGGUUCAGGGCCUUAUACAGUUUAUUGUGAUACUUCUCGUAUUGGGCUUGGUGAAGCGUUGAUGCAGGAUGGCAAGGUCAUUGCCUAUGCUUCACGGUAGUUGAAGAUUCAUGAGAAGAACUACCCGGUUCAUGAUUUGGAGUUGGCAGCCAUUGUUCACGCAUUGAAGAUUUGGAGACAUUAUCUAUAUGGCGUGGCAUGUGAGAUGUUCACGGAUCACAAGAGUCUUCAGUAUUUGUUCAAGCAAAAGGAGUUGAAUUUGAGGCAGAGGAGGUGGUUGGAGUUGUUGAAGGAUUAUGAUAUCACUAUCUUAUAUCACCCGGGAAAGGCCAAUGUGGUGGCCGAUGCGUUGAGUAGGAAGUCAGCCAGUAUGGGCAGUCUUGCUUAUAUUCUGGUCGGUGAGAGACCGCUUGCUUUGGAUAUUCAGGCUUUGGACAAUCAGUUCAUGAGAUUGGAUGUCUCUGAGCCCAGCCGUGUGCUAGCUUGCACAGUCGCUCGUUCUUCGUUAUUGGAGCUUAUCCGUGAUUGGCAGUAUGAUGAUCCCCAUUUGUGUGUCCUUAGAGACAUGGUGCAGCGCGGAGGUGCCAAGCAGGUUGCCUUAGAUGAUGAUGGAGUUUUGAGAUUGCAGGGUCGAGUUUGUGUGCCUAAUGUGGAUGAACUCCGAGAGUUGAUCUUAGAGGAGGCCCAUAGUUACCGGUACUCUAUUCAUCCGGGCGCCGCGAAGAUGUAUCAGUAUUUGCGGUAGUAUUAUUGGUGGCGUAGAAUGAAGAAGGACAUCGUUGCACAUGUGGCUUGAUGUUUGAAUUGUUAGCAGGUUAAGUAUGAGCAUUAGAGGCCUGGUGGUUUAUUUCAGAGGAUUGAGCUUCCCAAGUGGAAAUGGGAGCGGGUUAUUAUGGAUUUCAUUGUUGGACUCCCGCGGACUUAGAAGAAGUUCAACGCAAUAUGGGUCAUUAUUGAUAGGCUGACCAAGUCAGCGUAUUUUAUUCCUGUGGCAGUUCCAUAUUCAUUCAAGAGGUUAGCUGAGAUCUAUAUCUAGUAGAUUGUUCGUCUUCAUGGUGUACCUGUGUCUAUCAUUUCGGAUCGAGGUACGCAGUUUACCUCACAUUUUUGGAGAGCAGUUCAGCGAGAGUUGGGCACUCAGGUUGAGUUGAGUACAACAUUUCAUCCUCAGAUGGACGGGCAGUCCGAGCGGACUAUUUAGAUUUUGGAGGAUAUGCUCCGAGCCUGUGUCAUCGAUUUUGGAGGUUCGUGGGAUCAGUUCUUGCCUUUAGCAGAGUUUGCCUACAACAACAACUACAAGUCGAGUAUCCAGAUGGCUCCUUAUGAGGCUUUAUAUGGUAGGCAGUGUCGAUCUCUGGUUGGAUGGUUUGAGUCGGAGAGGCUCGGUUGUUAGGUGCGGAUCUGGUUCAGGAGGCCUUGAACAAGGUCAGGAUUAUUCAAGAUAGGCUUCGUACAGCUCAGUCCAGGCAAAAGAGUUAUGCAGAUCGCAAGGUUUGAGAUGUGGUUUUUAUGGUCGGCGAGCGGGUAUUGCUCCGAGUGUCGCCUAUGAAGGGCAUGAUGAGAUUUGGGAAGAAGGGCAAGCUUAUCCCUAGGUUCAUUGGUCCGUUUGAGAUUCUUGAUCGAGUGGGAGAGGUGGCUUAUAGACUUGCAUUGCCGUCGAGCUUAUCAGUCGUACAUCCAGUGUCUCAUGUGUCCAUGCUUUGGAAGUAUCACGGCGACCCAUCCCACGUGUUAGAUUUCAGCACUGUCCAGUUGGACAAGGACUUGUCUUAUGAGGAAGAGCUGACAGCUAUUCUAUACCGGCAGGUUCGUCAGUUGAGGUCAAAGAGUUUUCCUUCUGUUCGUGUUCAGUGGAGAGGUCAGCCUCCUGAGGCAUCGACCUGGGAGUCCGAGUCCAAUAUGCGGAGCCGUUAUCCCCAUCUUUUCCCCGACUCAGGUACUUCCUUCUUCUGUCCGUUCGAGGACGAACGGUUGUUUUAGAGGUGGAGAAUGUGAUGACCGAAAAGGUCAUCACUUGCUUUGAAUUAAAUUUUGUGUUUACGAGGCCUUGAAAACCUCAUUUAGAGUCACCUCGAUUUAUGUGUGCAGUCCGGGCUCGUAGCUGAAAAGCGCAAAUGUGAAAAUCUGUGAAAAAUGAUAAGUUUUGACUGAAAAAUGAAUAAAUUUGACUUUGGUCAACGUUUUGUGUAAAUGGACCCGGAACCGUAAUUUGACAGUCCCGGAGGGUCCGUAUGAAAAUAUGGGACUUGGGCGUAUGCCCGGAAUCAAAUUUCGAGGUCCUAAGCCCGAGAAAUGAAUUUUUAAAGGAAAUUAUUUUCUGUAAUUGCUUAAGGAAAAUUGAAAUGAAAUUUGCUUAGAACAUGGUGGUAUCAGGCCCGUAUUUUGGUUCCGGAGCCCGGUACAAAUCUAAUAUAUGAUUUGAGACAUUUCUGUAGAAUUUGGUGAAAACAGAUGUCAUAUGACGUGAUUCAGUCUUAUAUCGCAAAAUUUAUGUUUAAAGAAGUUUUGAGAAAAUUUCAUUGAUCUCGAGAUUUAAUUUGAUGUUCAUGAUGUUAUUUUGAUGAUUUUAUUACACGAAUAAGUCCGUAGGAUAUUUUUGAGAUUUUGUGUGCGCUUGGUUUGGAAUCCCGAGGGCUCAGGUGAGUUUCGGGUAGGUUCCGGUAUGCCGUAAGCCUAAAAACACAGUUGUGGCAGGUUCGGAGAAGUUGCAGGUCUGUGAACCCACCAGUGCGGUCCGCGGUUGGCUUUGCGCGGUGGAGGCUUGUGCGGCCGCAGUCCAUUUCAUGCAAUCCGCACAGGGCACUGGACCGCAGUAUCCCAAAAAACCUGUGCGGCCGCAAUCCAUUUUGUGCGGUCCGCACGGGGGGUCUGAGAGGGGUAUAAAUAGAUGAGAUUUUCAGUUAUUUUUCAUUUUUCAAAACCCCAAAAACAUAAGAGGCGAUUUUUCAAACAACCUUUCUUCUCCAAAUCAAUUGUAAGUUAUUUUUAACUAGUUUUCUUCAAUCAUUAACAUCUUUUAACAUGAUUUCAACUUCAAAUCAAUGAUUUUCAUGGGGGAAAUUGGGUGUUUUUGGUAGAACCUAGAUUUUUUAAAAAUUAAAAUUUGGACCUCGAUUUGAGGUCUGAUUUCAAAAUAAAUUAUAUAUUUGAGUUUGUGGGGGAAUGAGUAAUCGGGUUUUGGUUCGAACCUCGGGUUUUGACCAUGUGGGCCCGGGGGAGAUUUUGAUUUUUUGGGUAAAACUUUCGAAAACUCAUUUUCAUGCAUUCAAAUUGAUUCAUUUAGCGUUUAUUGAUGUUAUUAAGUAACUUGUGGCUACAUAUGAGCAAAUUGGCGGUGGAAUCAAGGGGUAAAGCUAUAAUUGAAACUUGAGUUGUGUUCGAGGCAUCGAGGUAAGUGUUCGGUCUAACCUUAGCUUGAGGGAUUAGGAGUUGAGUCCUAUUUGCUAUUUGCUUCUUGUUGAGUACGACGUAUAUGCAUGGUAACGAAUAUCUAUACGUUGGUUUCAAGCAUGACCGUGAGUCUUAAAUUGAUACUUGAUGUGCUCUUGAAUGUUACUAUGGUUGAAAUAGUGAGUAAGUCCUUGAUAUUGAGCAAAGACUUAGUUUGUUUAUCGUGGAAUCUACUUAUGAUUGAGGAAUAGUGGUAAUUGAGACGAGUAGGAGUUGAGUUAAGAUUGGUUAUAGCUAAUUCUCCCUUUCCGGGACGUAUAUACUUGUACUGCCGAGUUCCCUUGCCGGGAUAGUGUAGUCUAUUGUUGAUCCUUUACCGGGACGAUUAAUUAUGAUUAUUGUUGACUGUAUAGUUGGAACGGGUUGUGCGCCGCAACAGAUAUUAUAUUGGAUUGAGUUGCACGCCGCAAUAGCUGUAUAUAUGUGGAUCAGGUUGCAUGCCGCAACAAUGUUAAAUGAUAAGGGAUCGGGUUGCGCGCCGCAACAGUAUUGUUAUUGUAUUGUUGUAGAUAUUGAGCUGUCCUUUCAUAUUUUAUUAGGUUUCUGUUGGUCUUGAUAUGUUUCCCCGAAGCAUGUACCCCCUCCCAUUUUAAACUGCUUAUUCCUGUUUAUUUUUCGCCAUAUAUUAUAUAACUGCACAGGUUUAUCUGGGGUCUGGUCCUACCCUUGUCGCUACCUUGCCGGGGUUAGGCCAGACACUUACCAGCACAUGGGGUCGGUCGUGCUGAUACUACACUCUGUACUCUGUGCAGAUACUGGAGUGACACUUGAUCAGCAGCAGUAGAGGAGCCAGCCUUCAGUCCACCGAGACACCGAGGUAGCCUUGCAGGCGUCCGCAAGCCCGGCGUCUCCUCUAUCUUUUAUUAUGUUUUUUUAUCUCAUGUAUCCGAGACAAACAGUGUUAUUUUUCCUUCGAACUGUUGUAUGUAGUACUCUUAGUAGUCAAUGGGUAUUGUGACACCAGUUUCUGGGUAGAGGCAUGUGUGGACUUUCGAAACAUUUUGGUUUUAUAUUUAUUUAAGACUUCCGCUUAAAUCUCAUAUUCCGCUGUCAUUUAGAUGUUUAUCACUUGUUAAUAUAAGUUGUAAAAAAAAAGAAUAAAAUAGAAGAGCUAAAGAUUUCUAAGUUCGUGGCUUGCCUAGCUUCUACGAGUGGGCGCCAUCACGACUCCCGAGGGUGGGAAUUUCGGAUCGUGACAGAAAUCUUUCUUUCAGGAUAUCAAACGAAAAUUCAAAAUAGUUUUUCUUUGGUUUAUUUUUUAGAUUUCCUUCAUAAAAAAAGUCAAAAAAUAUUUUUCUCUUCUAGGAUUUUUCCUUAAUAGAGUAUUUGUUUCAAAAGAAAAAAAAUCCGUUAAGCUUGAGUUUAGAAUAGGUUAUAGAAGAUUAAGUCUAGAAAAAAAGAAGAAGUUUUGCUUCCUUUAUUUCUCUUUUCUCUUCGGAUUGGUCAUUAAGGUAAAUAAAAAGAGAGAAAAAAAAGAAGAGAACGUUAGUUUAUUUAGUCUAUUCCCGAUCUUCCCAUACUAUGCAAAGAUCUGAUUCAUGCGGCUUCAUGAUACAUAGGCAACUUAUAUAGGGUUCGAUCGGAAUUUUUUAUUUUUAUGAAUAAAAAUAAAAGGAAAAAAAGGGAAAAAAAAGAAAAAAGGGAUGAAAUGAUAGGAUGUGAGAAUUGAGAGGAAAGAAGAGAGUGAUAAUUAGCAAAAAAGGAAGGAAAAAUGAGCAAGCAAGUGCUAGAAAAGCAAAGAAAAAAGAGGAUUGAGAUGAACAAAUUAGGAUGAUACCAACUGACCUUCAUACCCUCGAAGUCAUUUUAGAACCAAUAACUGUGGCUAAGUGCAUUGCACAUAAAGUGAGAUUUUCUUAUGUUAAAUGCCCUAACGCUAACGUGAUGACUUCAUUUUGUUCCUUUUGUUAUCUUCAUUAUAGCAGAAAGGUGGUUGGUUUGUGGUUCUUAAAGUGGUAACUCUUCUCUACAACAUAAAGUUGAAAGGCAAUGGCAGACGACAACGGAAUUGAGUUGGUUGGUACUGGGCCCAAAAGCAAUUGGUUGAACAGGGCAAUGGGUUGGUUAAAGAGGUAAGGAUGUUAAGAUAACACAUUGCGGACAUGUAUCAGACUUAGAUGAUUGGGAAGGUACCACCCCCGCCACCACCUAGCUUCCUAGAUGCUACCCUUACUUGAACUCCGGUCAUAGUGCCAGAUGAUCCCCCAUACUCUCCAGAUCCACCCGCUUAUCACAGCUUUCCCAACCGCCCUAGUAGCUCCAUCACUCAUCCUCCAAUUACCUUUCCCCAAAAUUGCCCUCCUGUCAUAUCGACUAUCCUUAACAAUGAAUUCCCACUCAAAGCUCAUGAUGCCCAAUAUUACCCCUCAGAGGUUGCACACAAGGUUCUUGAAUCAUACAAGCAGAGCCCUCAGAAUGAGCCUCAUGCUGAAAAUGAAAAGGUCACAGGAAAAGAAGGGCGAGAUGAAAUAUCCAGGAAGCUGAAAGGUAUAGAAAAGUCCUUAAGGAGCAUGCAAGGGAUGAGAAAUCAGAUUCAUAUGUUCCUUGAUGUUUAUCUGCCUGUGGGGUUUAAAGUGCCAAAGUUCAAUUUGUAUGAGGGGCGUGGAGAUUCGAUAGCCCAUCUGAGGGGUUAUUGCAGGGAAAUGAGAAAUGUUGGCGAGAAAGAUGAUUUGUUGAUGGCGUAUUUCAGUGAGAGCUUGACUGGGGCAGCUUUGGAAUGGCAUAAUCGUCAAGAUGUCGGUAAGUGACAUACAUUGGGUGACAUGGCUCAAGAUUUUGUUCGACACUUUCAAUACAAAUUAGACAUUACCCCAGACCGCUCCUCCCUAUCUAAAAUGGAAAAGAAAUCGGAGGAAAGCUUUGGGGAGUUUGGGCUCAGAUGGAGGGAGCAAGAUGCUCGAGUCUGUGCCCCCCAUUGGUGAAGAAGAAAUGGUUGAGCUUUUCCUACAAGCCCAGGGGCCCACCUACUUCAGUCAUUUGAUUCCUACCUUGGGUAAACCUUUCAAUGAUAUGGUAAAAACGGGGGAGAUGGUAGAAGAGGGAAUCAAGUCAGGCAAAAUCAUGAGUUAUUCGACAUUGAAAGAUACUAUGGAAGGCAUUCAGAACAUCCCAGUAAGUUUGGCUGGAAGAAAGAGAAAUAGAAAAGAUGAUCCCCUUGGCAUUCCUGCUCAACGCUUUUAGCCUCGACAUCGACCCCAUGGAUCUCCUUGUGCACCAGAUGAUCCUCCCCAAUGCUACUUCUCUCCACGUAACCCCCAAAGUCGUACAUCACUUUCCCAGUACCCUAUCCACAAUGCACCACUAUAUGCUCCACACCCACGAGGCCCGCACCACUUCCCCAAAUGUCUUACCCGCCUCCUCAAGCAUAUUAGCCACCUGCCCGCAAAAGGUUCCAACUGAGGCCAGAACACAAACUGAAAAGACUGCUGAAAAAAGAAAAGACUCUCACCCCUAUUGGAGAAUCAUAUGCCAGUUUGUUCCGAAGGUUGAGGCAAUUGGACAUGGUGAAGCCGAUUCAGAUAAAAAUGCCAAACCCUCUACCAAAGAAGUUUGAUUUUUCUCAAAGGUGCGCAUAUUGCUCCGAUGCCCUGGGUCACAAUAUAGAAAAGUGUUGGCACCUGAAAAAUGCAAUUCAGAAGCUUAUUGAUACAUGUGACAUUGUCGUGCAAAAUCUAGAUGCAGCAAACACUAGCCAAAGUCCAUCAUCUGUUCGUAAUGAGUCGCAUAUGGGUGAGUAUGGUUUGUUUUGAAAAGGAAUAUGAGAAUUCUUCUAAGAUCCUCGGAGGUCCACGCACUGCAAAGCUUUUAGCGCUAUCAGAUGUUGAUCUUAAGAACGAGCUGCAAAGUGAACCCAAAAGCAAUUUGUUAAGAACAAUGUGAUGAAGACUUGUGAAGGUCCUAAUAUUGUUGAUGCAGAAUUCAAUGGUUAAGAUGUUGAGCUUGGUGAUUAGAAAGAUGCUCCUUUCUUGGUUAGCCAGGGAAGAGUAUUGGUAGUUUAUUUUAUUGUCAUUUCUGUUGUCCGGUUUAUUUCAGGGUUGUAAUCCAGAUAUUGUCUUGUGGCUCAAACCCUUCUAUCCUUUUAUUUUGCCUGGUUUGUUUAGUCGUAGUAACUCAUUUAGUGCUGUCUAGGUUUGUUCCAUGGUUGUAACCCCAGUUUAGUGCUUGUUUUGUUGUUCAAACCCCUUCACCGUUUAUCUAAUACAAUUUUCUAUUUUCUGUUAUUUCUAGUCAUUUCUGUUUAGUUCUUUUCUCCUUUUAUAGUUCUCUUCAUGCUGGUUCUGGUGACAUGACAUGCACGCAUAAUUCUAGGCCUGGUUUUAAAGGUUAGUUUAAUCAUGAAAUAAUAAAACAAUUAUGAAGAUGAUAGGGACAUUUGAGGGAAAUAAGUAAAGGCAUUUCGAGAUCAUUUGAAGCCCGAACUGUGUGAAACUGGGGUAGGUAAUUGGGAAAGUUGAUGGGGUGACAAGAAUUCGUUAAAGGAGAGUGCAUCCUAGACAGUUUGAAGCAAACAACUUUGAGUUCAAGUGCAUCUCAAGUUACAAGAUAAAGUCAAGAAAGUUGUCUCCAAAUUGACGGAGGAUAUCCAUUGUGAAAAGGGAAUCACCCAACGAGAGUUCUGUACUUGAUAAGGCGCUAAAGAAAAGUGGAAGGCAUAUCAGUAAUACCAAUGUCGAAGCCGCAAAAGAAAUAUUGUGCAUGAUCUUCAAUUUUCAUUUCAAGUUGCAUGUAUUGUACUUGGCAUUUUCAGGGAUUGGGAGGCCCUAUUUCAGCUACUGAAACACUUAUACCAUUCGAUACCCUUUUGAGCCUGUACUGAUUUCUUUGACCUUCCCUCUUUUGGAAUCAAGUUAGAGUCAUAUGAAAAAAGAGAAAAAAAAGUUCAUGUCCCCAUAGGUUUAUUUUAGAAAGUUCAUUCCAAAAGGAAAAAGAAAAAAAAAAGGAAAAAAGAGAUAAAGAAAAAAAGGAAAAAGAAAAAAAGAGAAAAAAAGGAAAAAGAAAAAAAAGGAAAAAGAGAAAAGAAAAAGAAAAAUAGCAACAACAAAAUGUAUCUUUGUGAACUACAUUUGACAUGAUUCUUGUCACCCCAAAAUAUGUAGGCAGCCUUACGGUUCGGUCAUACCAAAUAAAAAUAUUUCAUAAUCCCACGAAGUCGAGAGUGGGAAAUUCCAAAAAAAAAAGAGGGAAAAAUAGAUUCAAGUUCCCCUGUUUUAGAAAUUGGGGGCAAAGUUUUUAGAAUGGAUUUCAAAAGUUGUAAAUAAAUUAACCCCGUUGUCUUAGUUACUUUGAGCCUUUAUAAUAUCAUUUCUUUCUAACCCUGCCCAAAAGCCACAUUACAGUCCAAACAAAGACCUUCCAGAUGAUCUUUGAGAGUGCGGAGUUUAGACAUGCCAAGAGUAUAUGCUGUUUUUACCAUGGUUAAUGCCUUGUCAUCUGCAGAAUCAGAGGAGAAUAAGAAGAAAAGAACAAAAUGAGAGAGUCUUAUCGGUGAAAACCUUCACAGGCACCAUAAGGCGAUGGUGAGUUGAGAGAAAGAACAAAAUGAGAGAGGCUUGAUAGUGAAAACCCUUCGGGCACUACAAAUCGAAUAAGGAUCAGGAAUCGAAUUGGAUAAUCAGAGCAUUGAAGCCCAGUUUCACGGUUUAGGGGUACAAUAAGAGUUGAACAUCACACUUGCUUGACAAAAUUGGCCACAUGUGCAUGUCAUGGUCAUUAGAGUUGGGAUCCACAUCUGAUAGGUUUCUACUUGUAGUUUCUUGUUAGGAAUCAUCCCUUUCCAUUGUCCUUUACUCUGUUCCUUUUGUCUUGUUUACUUCCUCUUACUGAGUCUGUUUGGUCAGAAUAAGUGAGAAAUGACUACAAAAUCUGUCACCAGCUUUCCAAUGGCACAAAACGGGAUCUAGCUAGCACAUCAAAGUGGCAUAAGUCAGGAAAGAACAGCAUGUGCACUGAGUUGAUAACAAUCAACGUGCUUUGGGAUUCAUGUGAAGUACAAAGGUUUGGUAUAUGUCAAUUCAUGAACAAUGCAACAGAUAGAGUAUGUUGGGUGAACGGAUCAAAGGUGUUUUUUGUGAUAAAGUUGACAGAGAAGGUGGUUAACCAAUGACAAGCAAGGUCUUCCAAGCGGAAGUCAAAGUUAUCAUGACAAGUGAAGGAGCAAUAGACCUGUGUUUUGGGAUUCAUGUAAAAUACAAAGGUUUGGUAAAUGUCCAAUCAUGAGCAAAAUGCAAUAGAUAGAGGAUAUUGGGUUUGAACAGAUCGGAAGUAUUUUAUGGGAUAAGGGUGACAGAGAAAAUGGUCAGUCAAUAAACAAGCAAGGUCUUUCGAAUUGAAACCGAAGUUAUCAUGGGAAGUGAAGGAGAAAUCACCCUCUACCAUAUUUAUAAACUCAUAAGUUUUCUUUGUUUGAAACAGGGACGGAAAUUGUGUCCAAAUCAAAGCUUGGAAGUUUGAAUUUUUUCAAGUGUCAUGCCCAAAUUUUGUCAGCAGAAAGGCGGUUUGAGGAAUGGAAAGAAAAAGUUGUUCGAUCUGUAGGAAUCCUCUAUGAGGAAAAGUAUGGUGCAGGGGCAAGGAAUUUUUUUUGUUCUGCAAAGAUCCUUCAGAAAGAAAGCAUGGCUCAGGUAAGUUCAUUCUCGGCUCUUCAGGACCCUCCUGGAUAAUGGAAUUUAGUUUUAAGUAUUCAGUACCCUCCUGGGCAAUGGGAUUUAGUUUUAAGACCUUCAUAGAUAAUAAGAUUUAGCAUAAGUUUUACCUUUAGAAAAUAGGAUUUAGCUUUGAAGUUGUCACUCGCGAGAUGAGAUUUAAUUUUUAAUUUUCAGGACCCUCCUAAAUAAUGGGAUUUAGCUUUUAAAUUCUUAGAGGUUUUGAGUACUAUGAUUCAAUUAACUCUCAUAGAUGUUCCCGAUAUCAAACUGGGGUAGAAAUUUGUUUGUUUGUUUUGUUGUAAUUAGGUUCACAAGCAGCAGUUUCAGAGGCAACAGAGCAAGUUUCGAGGAAAAGUAGAGCAAGUGUUGGUAAUCAGGAGCCCACCUGGAGAACGAAGGGAAGCAGCAAUGUCCAAAGGAAGACAACAAUCAGGAGCCCACCUGAAGAACAAAGGGAAGCAACAACGUUCAAAGGAAGACAACAAUCAGGAGCUCACCUGGAGAACGAAGGGAAGCAACGAGGUUCAAAGGAGUUCAGCAAUCAGGAACCCACAUGAAGAACAAAGGGAAGCAUUUCAAGUUUCGAGAAAAAGCAGCGGAAGUAUUGGUAAUCAGGAUCCCACCUGGAGAACGAAGGGAAGCAACAAUGUUCAAAGGAAGAUAGCAAUCAGGAGCCCGCUCGCCUGGAGAGCGAAGGGAAACAUAAAUGUUCAAAGGAAGACAGCAAUCAGGAGCCCACCUGAAGAACGAAGGGAAACAGUGAUGUUCAAAGGAAGACAACAAUCAGGAGCCUACCUAGAGAAUGAAGGGAAGCAGCAAGGUUCAAAGGAGUUCAGCAAUCAGGAGCCCAUCUAAAGAACAAAGGGAAACAGUUCAAGUUUCGAGCAAAAGCAGCACAAGUGUUGGUAAUCAGGAGCCCACCUAGAGAACAAAGGGAAGCAACAAUGUUCAAAGGAAAACAACAAACAUGAGCCCACCUAAUGAACAAAAGGAAGCAGCAAGGUUCAAAGGAAGACAACAAUCAAGAGUCCACCUGAAGAACAAAGGGGAGCAGCAAGGUUCAAAGGCGUUCAGCAAUCAGGCACCUACUUGGAGAGAAANNNNNNNNNNNNNNNNNNNNNNNNNGUUCAAGUUUCAAAAGAAGACACCACAGGUUUCAAAGGAAAAUAGUUUAAGGUAACAAAGGGAAUACAAUUCAAGUUUGGUAAUCAGGCGCCCGCCUGGAGAACAAGAGGAUGCAGUUCAAAUGUUGGCAAUUAGGCCUACCUGGAGAAUAAGAGAAUUCACUUCAGAGUACAAUUCAAGUCAGCAACAAAAGAAGCUUGCGGUAAGAAUGCGAGUCAACAGUCCGAGGUAAUCAACAGAAGUUAGUCACAAAAAAAAAGGCAAGAAGUGAAUCCAGAUGCAGAAGUUGAUGAAAAUGUGAGUUGCUCAAGAUAUGGUUGAAGUCACAAGCAUGGUAUGUCCGGUUUUGGUUUGAAAAGCUAAGAAGAAUGAACUAGCACCUGCAACUAGCAAGCGUCAAGGUUCAAAUCCAAAGUCUGCAUGAAGAACCAUUCAAGACUCAAGAUCAAGCUUCAGAAGACUAAUAGAUAUGAAUCUUGUAACUCGUAGUUGGCAGACUUAGCUAGUCUUUUUCUUUUUUUGAUUUUUGAUGUAAUAACAGGACCGUGAACCGGAACCUCGGCGAAACGGCACCUCGACUGGCUCUCUACCUCGGGUUCCCAAGGCAUAAGAAAAAGAGAAAGAUAAAGCGGAUUAGGAAAGAUUCAAAGGAUUUCUAUACUCAUAGACAGGGUUUAGGUGCAAAGCGGGCUGUUCGCCUUUCGGAAAAGGUGAGCCUCUUUGGUUCAAAAGAAACUACUAAACUUUUCUAGUAUAGCUAGUGAAUCCUUGAAUGUCCACCCCAAGCAGAAGAAUGCAUAUCCUGGAUUAGUUUUAGCCUAAGGCCCAACUGAUUUCCAAUCCACAAUUUACCUUGAAACCUUAGCAAACCAAAUUGCAGAGACACAUUAGUCACUGCUUGUGAGUCAAUACUCAGUUGUGAGAUUAUGUCUUGGGCUUCUUCAUCCCCUGUAUAGCUGUUUAUUACCUCUUGCAACCACUUGGGUUGGAUCAAAGUGAGACCCAAACAUGAAGUUUUUUUUCUUGAUUAACUCUUGAAAUUUCCUCUUCCCUUCGAGACAACGCAUCAACUACAAUGUUCUCUUUUCCCUACCGAUAAUGUAUUUCAUAACUGACGCCCAUCAGUUUUGUUUCUCCUUUAUAUUGUAAAGAGGUGGUGAUACGUUGAUCUCUGUGGAAUUUAAGACUAAAGUGGUAUGUCCGAAUGAUGAAGUGAUUGGGUUGGAGGUAAUGCCUCCAUUUUUCAACAGCCAGUAGAAUGACAAUCAAUUCCUCCUCAUAGGUGGAUAACCCAAGAUGUUUUUGACUUAAAACUUGAAUCAUAUAGGCAAUGGAUCUGUUAUUUUGGGAAAACACAGCCCCAACUCCCCAUCCACUAGCAUCGACUUCAACCACAAAGGGUAACUUGAAAUCUGGUAAGGCCAAGACAUGUGCUCUACUCAUGGCUUCUUUCAGAGCUUCAAAGGCUUUUGUUGAUUCUAUACUCCACACAAAACCUCCCUUUUUGAGUAAUGAUGUUAAGGGCUUACAAAUAAUUGCAUAGCUUUGGAUAAAUCGACGGUAAUAUCCAGUAAGCCCAAGGAAUCCACGUAGACUCUUAAUAGAACUUGGCUUGGGCCAAUUUACCAUGGCCUCAACUUUAGCCCUAUCAGUGCUUACCCCAUCAUCGGUGAUCACAUGACCCAAGUACUCCACUUGUUCCAAUAAUGAAGCACUAUAAACUAAUAUAUCAUUAAAACAAACUAACACAAACUUCCUCAAAUAGGGGCUGAAAAUCUGAUGCAUAAGGACUUGAAAUGUAGCCGGAGCAUUUGUUAAUCCGAACGGCAUCACUGUAAAUUCCCACAAUCCAUGAUGAGUUUUGAAAGCCAUUUUAUGAUCAUGGCCUGCCUUCAUUCAGAUAUGAUGGUAUCCGAAUCUUAAAUCCAAUUUCAAAAAAUAAUAAGCACAAUGGAGUUCAUCUAGUAGAGCUUCCACCAUUAGAAUCAGAUAUUUAUUCUUUAUGGUAAUGUCAUUGAGCUUUCGGUAAGCAACACAUAAACUUCACGUAGAAACUUUUUUCUUGACAAGGAUGACUGGUGAAGCAAAAGGAGAUGUACUGGUGAUCACUGCCUUAACCUAUAACAUCUCUUGAAUAAUUCUUUCGAUGACAUCCUUUUGCUCGUGAGAGUUCCUAUAGGGUCGUUGAUUGACUGGUGCUACUCCUGAAACCAAUUCAAUAGCAUGAUCGCAAGACCUAGCUGGAGGUAAGGUGGUGGGUUCAUCAAACACUCUAGCAAAUGCACCCAAAAGAUUUUCCACCACAGCCGGUACUAUUUCUCUGUUGGACUCGACUGAUUCCAUUUGAAAUGUUUGUGCCACCCAACUACAACCACAUCUAUUCAGUAACCCAGAAUUCUUUUAGAAUCCAGUUGGGUCAUUGACUGCGAAUCAGUAAAGCCCACCAAUGUCACCAUAUUACUUCUUCUAAAGAAGGAUACACUAUGUGGUCUAGUAUUUAUAACCAUGGGAGCUACCAAGUCUAUCCAAUCCAUCCCUAAGACUAUAUCACAACCUCCAACCUUCAUUAAUCUCAAGUCAAAUUGGAACAUUUCACCUUGCAUUUGCCAAAACACCUUAGGAAAAAAAAUAUUACUCCACAUUAUCCCUCCAUUAGCUACUCGAACUUUCAUGGUCCGAAUCAUUUGUUGCAUGUUUAAUUGCAAUUUUUCAGCCAAUUGAGGGUCUAAGAAGCUAUGAGUUGCCCCUGAGACAAUCAAAAUUAUCACUGGUUCAUUAUUUAAGAUUCUUGAAAUUUUGAUUGUAUUGGGACCUCUUCCUGGGCCAUCCAGAACAUUGAGGAAAGCUUCCUCCUCUUCCAAACCCACCAUCAUAUUAACGGUAGCAUCUUCCAUAUUUUCCUCAACUUCUUGUUCAUCCGUUACUCCCAGAGCCUUCACCUACUUCAAAAUUGGUUUCCCCUUCACUUCCUUCAAUUGAGUUAAGGGCUUUGGACUUGCGUUGAUGCCCUAGAAAGUACUUAUCAUGGCAUUUGUAAUACAACUUAUUUUCCCUUAACAUUUCCAUGGUUGGAUUGUUCGGUAGGACCAUUGAAUUUCUGGUCACAAUAGGCGGCAACUCUUGAUGAUGUUUUGAGCUGAAGUUGUUUUUGGGAUGGGAGGAAAGGUAAUUGUCGGUUGUGUGGAGGACAUUUUCAAUGGCUGAAUAUUUUUAUAAAUGGAGGCUAACGUUUUUUCAUGAAUUUUAGCUAUUUCCAGUGCAUCAAUCAUUGUUUGAGGAUUGGAUGCCCUCAUCAUGGACUGUAAAUCUGCUUUUAAUCCUCCAACAAAGCAAUACACAAAGUAAACUUCAUUAAAUGUUGGAUUAAUGAGCAACAAGUAGAAACGCAAGUCCUCAAAUUUGUUAAAAUAGCUAUCCACAUCCGUCCACUAUUGAAAUCUAUUAAAAUCAAUAACAACAUCCAUGGGUCUGAUGUUGCCAUAUCUACGACACACAUCCAAGCAAAAGGUCUCUCAUGUGAAAGUACCACCAUGUUCCAUCAUAUAAACAUCGAACCAAGUAUCCAUUUUCUCAUUAAUGUGAAUAGCCACAUAGCUCAUCUUUUCACUUGAAGUCGUUUGGUAUUGUCACACCCCUUUUUUUACCAACCUCACUAACCCUCUUUAAAUAAUAAAAAAGAUUUGUAAUGCUCAAAAAAAAAUUCCAAUUAGAAAGUGACAAAAUAUUUGUUUUAAAAGGUAAUAACUCAGAGUCGUCACCUGACAUUGGUUUCGGUGUGCCAGGUGUAGACAUGUGAUUUUUGACCCUCCCCAAGAUUUUUCAUAUUUUAGCACGCAAAUAUUUAAUUUAGGCCUAAUAUCGCUAUCUCAACUAAUUUUGACUCUUUUACUUUAUUUUAUUACAAAAAGCGAAAAUUACAAAAAAUAGUUUCAUUAAGGUUUUGUAGUCAUUUUUAAUCUUGAAAAAAUACCAAAAAAUAGUUUUGUUUUAACGUGGAGUCUUAUUUUAAUAAUUAUUUUUACUUAAGUAGGAUUAAUUAAUAUUUUCGAUAAUAUUUCUAUAUGGAUAGAUUUUUAGUUAAUUAAACUAAUUUUAAACAAAACUAGUCAUAAAGGCCCAUAAUUUUCAAAUCCAUAAUUCAUAGGCUCAUACCUCUUAACCUAGAAAACCCUACAAAUACUUAGAUCCCUGGACUAAGAGAGGAAACUAACCUAGAAUUCCCCAGCCGUUCCCUUCAUUUUUUCAGCAUUCUAACAUACACCCUAGGAGAACCCUAGGAGAACCCCACUCCCGACGGCAAACACCCCUCCAAAACCGAUGACCCCUCAUCUCCUCCACCCUAAAGCAGCACACCCAAACCCAGCGACCUUACUUCAGUCAUGACGCAUACACACGCACACGCACAAACAGAAGACGGGGAAGAAAAGAGAAGGAAAGAAGCUAGGGUUUAGAAAGGAAAAUUCUCCUUCUGUUGAGUUACUGUUGGUACUUCCUAAUUGUUUAAAGUCAUGUUUCUUAUGCUAAAGAUACUAAGUUCCAAAUUGGAUCUAGUUUGAGCUAGAAGACUGGUUUAUUUGUGAAAAUGAUAAGUCAAUAUUUGGAAUUAUUCACUUUGUGCACUAAAUUCUCAUAAUUGUCGUUUAGUGUGAAUGCUUUUCCCCAUGAAAUGCUUUUUCUACGAUUUACUUGAAUGCUCGUUUGUGCGGAUUUUAUUAACGUCUGCUUGUCUGCUUAAGUAAAUGAAGUAAAAUUGGAAUCGAAAUAUUUGUUGCUUUAUCAUUUGUCGCAUUCUAGGUCGACCAUACGUGGGUAAGCAAACUUUUAGGCACGUAAUUAAAUUAUUACAACUAUCGGUACGGUUCUCGUGACGUGGUUAUAAUACUUAGUUUCUUUAAAAAUUAGAUAUAAGUAGGAGUAUUUUUGGUUUGCCUUAGCGAAAUACAAAUCUUUUCUUUUAAAUAAAUUGAGGUGCGCCACACGCAAACAAAAUCCAUAAUCGAUGGCCCUCAUAUUAAUUAUCUUAACUAGUGUAAAAAAUGCCUUGAACUCUCGUAGUUUGCUUUAGGCACAUUUAAUUAAAUAAAUUGUCAUAGUUACGGGUACGGUUCUCGUGAUGUAGUUGUGAUGCUGAAUUUCUAAAAAUUCGGGAGUACAUUUAUGUGACCCGGCCACAAUUUAAUCUUGUUAAUAAAAUAAACAUAUUGUGGAUCGUGGGUACGGCUCCCGUGACAUGAUUUGCAACGUGUAAUCAAAUAAUUAGUUGUAUAACAAUCGAAUUAUUAAAAGCGGUUUAAAAGGGAUAAAAACACACAUAGAUUUCAAAGAUGUUUUAAAAUCAAAUAAAUAGGCCAAUAAUAACAGUUGAGCAACCGUGCUAAAACCACGGAACUCGGGAAUGCCUAACACCUUCUCCCGGGGUAACAAAAUUCCUUACCCGAAUUUUUGUGUUUCGCGGACUAUAAAAUAGAGUCAAUCUUUUCCUUGAUUCGGGAUUUAAACUGGUGACUUGGGACAUCAUAAAUUAUCCCAAGUGGUGACUCUGAAUUUUAAAUAAAAUAAUCCUGUUUCGAUUGUCACUUAAAUUGAAAAAAAACUCCCUUAUAUCGCCUUCGCGGGUGGUAAAAAGGAGGUGUGACACCAGGUCACUGUUUUUUUUAAAAUAAUUUUCCUUUUAAAACACUUUGGACUCCGAACUAAGUCUGCACCAGAGAUUCGGGUAAGGGGGUUCAUUUGACUCUAGGAGAAGAUGUUAGGUACUCCGCAAGUCCCAUAACUAGUACGGUUACAUACUUGAUCUAGUCGGCUUUUAAAAUAUUCAAGUUGAGGUAAAAUCACAGAAAACCAAAAUAAACACACACGAGGCUCGAGGUCGUCCCCACCUAAUAAAAUAAAAAUAAAAAUAAAAAUACUACGAGUUCUAUUAUUGAUCUCCAAAUACAAAUACUUCGAGGCGUACCCCGGAAUAAAAUAUAUACAAAUCCUUCGGGGCAUUCCCUGGAUAAAUUUAACUAAGGGGAACCUCUCACCUCAAAAGAAACUAAAACACGAGCUUCCUAAAGGCUUGCCUACCCAAAUGUGGUCGGCCUAAGCAUGCUCCUAACGAAUACUAUGACAAAUAAAGAAAAUAAAAGAGGACUAAAUAAAAGAACGGUCUAAUUCAUGCUCAUGUUUUUUUAGCUUUUCAUUUUUAUUAGGCCGAGCCCGAUACCUAAAGCAUACAAAUAGAUUUAAUCGCUAAUGGGCUUUGGCCUUGUCCCCACUCCUACGGACCAAUGCAUUCGUCAUUCAAAAUAUCCCAACAAGCAAAUGUAAAAUAGUCAUCCAAAUAAAUAGGUACUCAAAUCAUUGAAGGAAAAUCAAACAGGGAACCAAAUAAAAUAACAGAAGACUAAAUGACGAACAAGUAAAAGGAAGUGAAUCAAAGCCUUUGGAAGAGCCAUUAAGAGAUGUUACCACUACCCAGUUCUUUACUAAAUUCUCAUACCCCAAAUAUCACACAACUCAAAUCCCCCUCCGGAUAUUACAAAUAUAUGCCAAAUCGUUCCAAUGAAACAAUGAGACUAUCUAAUGAAUCAAUUAACACACGAGAGCCGUUGAAUGACAAUGUGAUUUAGAAGCAUUAGAUAUACCACAAACUUAACAAAGUAAAACUCAUUUUAACCAUGAUCAAUCAAGAGAACAUUCCUUGAGCAGCUAAGCACGUUAUCAAAACUUCUUUAAACUACUAGUACUAGUGAUAAAAUGAUGACAACAUAUUUUAGAGCCAAGUAACUUUCCUUCACAGCAUAUAACCUUUAACAAGAAGAUCACUGCAACAUUUAGAAUUAAGUAACACAUGGUCAGAUUGAGCUUAAAAUAUUGUCAGACCAAUCAAUCACACCUAGAGCUUCAUAGAAGCACACAAGAAAUAUUUGAUAUGCAAAAUCUCGCCCACAUGCCAAAUUUCGAAAGAAAGAAAACUAAAUUAGACCAAAUAAGAGUUGAAAAACUUAUUAUAAUUAUUUACUACUCGAACAUCACCAUCUGAGACAAAUAUAAGUGAAUCCAUUUAUUUAAUAACAAAAUUCAUUCAAGUCUUCAAUCUUGCCUUAAUAACAGAGGAUGAAUUAAUUUAGUAUCAAAGAUAAGAAAAUAAUGGCAAGUACCUUAACCCCCAAUGAUUCUUAUUACCAAACUUUCAUUAUACCGUGACCAAGAAAUACUCAAUCAAGUCAAGAAACAUUCAAUCAAGUCUUCAUUAUCUUAAAAUUCCACAAGCAAACAGUUAAAGACCAAAACCAUUAAAACUCCUUCAAAAACUCAUUUAAAAGAGAAAAGGAACUAUAAAUUCAAACACAUAUCCGGAUCAUUCGACCCUUUAAAUGAAUCCAUCGGAAAAGAACAAAGAAAAAAAAACGGUACACAUAGUGACAUGAAGCAAAUAGAGGGGGAGUUAACAAAUUCUUGUUAUCACCUUAAGUUUAAACCCAUCUCUUAAUUGCUCUUCUAAGCUCGAUUCACAAGAGGGGAAAAGAGGAAGGAGAAGAAAAUGAACAUGUUGAGUAAGUUCUUCCACUAUAUAAAAUUCAACAAAUACAGAGAUUUCGACUCCCAAAAUUUGAAACGAGACUUAACAACAGGAAACGGGCAGAACCGCGAUUCAAUAGCAACACUCGAACAAUGCCGAUGAACUCAAACUCACCUCGAACUCAGAUCAAAUCCACGAGGGAAGUUUAACUCAAAAACUAAGUGUAUUUUUCGGAUUUGAGAAGCAGAAACUGAUUUUUUUUCCUAUAAUUUUACGGAAAUGAACUAAAGAUUGAAUUAGACUCUUUUUUUUUUUGUAUUUUUGCUUUUCUGAAACUUAAACUCAGACUGAAGAUGAACCAAAUAAGAAGAAGAAGAAGAACUCCCUCUUAGAACCCUAAUUUUUUCACUUUUCUUCCUUUUUUUCUAAAAACCCCCCUCCUAUAAAUCAAACCCCCCAAAUAUAUACUCCAUCUCAAAACUUCUAUCCUUGUCAUCUAAGAAAACCCGAAAAUCCUCGAAAAACCUCCAAAAUUCGUUUUUCGACCAGUAAAAGACAAGUGGUGGGAGUAGAUUGAGUGAGACUCCAUCCUAUGCCCCCAUUAAUCCUAAUCUAGUCUUCAAAUGAAAUUCAGGUGAGAUGAGCGCGUGAGGGAGAGGCGGACUCAAUUUGUCAGAGUUUGUUAUGGAUUUGGCUGACGUGGAAGGAAUAUGAGGGGAUGAGACCAUGGUGGGUUCGUUUAUGGUGGGGUUUGGGUUGGGUUAGGGUGGAAGAAGGGUGUGAGGGAUAAGAGGAGUGCGGUUGGGGUCUUUGGGGUUAGGUUUAGGGUUUGGGGAAUAUUGUACUUUUAAAUGGAGUUAAGACAAAAGAUGGGCCGUUGGAUUUGGCAGAAUGGAAGUUUUAGAUUAAAGGAAGCAUGGGUCGG